Molecule: long non-coding RNA, 1220 nt
Organism: Lathyrus oleraceus (garden pea)
Lineage: Eukaryota; Viridiplantae; Streptophyta; Magnoliopsida; Fabales; Fabaceae
Exons: 2
Source: RefSeq, a predicted model, not a curated record
GGGCCUGCAAGAGUCAAUCCAACAUUCAAACAAUUAACAUCAAACGAUUAGCACAAACAUGGCAGCCUAUCAACAAUUAACAUAACAACAACAAGUUGCAAUUGGACAUCAGUGCAACAGGUUUUCCAAACAAAGCUACAAAAACAACAUCACAAUCCCAUAUCAUUGGGCCUACAAGCCAACAAUACAAUUCAUAACAAACAUACAUCAGAGUGCAUCAACAAGCAACAUCAAAUUCAUCAUAAAAGAGCAUCAGUAACAAAACAAUAAUAGCAUCAGUCAUUCAAUUUUUACCAUCUGACAACACUGCUAAUAGGUUCAAUUUCAUCUAACGGAUUUCAUUCAUAGCAAGGAAAAUUCGCAUCAUCUAACGGUCCAAGAUCACUAACCUGGUUAACUUUGAAUCCCCUAUGUAUUCAUUAUUCUCCAAUUAUUUAGGGAAUCACGAUUCAUUCACGAAUUUACACAAAACCUCGCACACUUCAAAACUCUCCCUUAUUAUCUUCUCAAACUCAGAGCCUUGAAUCUUCAUAAUCCUCUCAAUCACUCACCACAACUCAAUCUCUCUAACUCUCACUCUCUGAUCAGAACCAAAGAAGAAGAAGAAGAAUAAGAAGAAGACUCAAAACUCGUAGCUCUCACUCUCCCAUUAAAGGCUCAAAGAAGUAUUCGCGCAACUCUCACAAUAGAAGAAGAAGGGAAAAACACAAAAUCAAGAGCAUACUUGUUUUCCGUUGUCUUCGUCGCUUCAAUAUUAUUCUUCGGUUGAGAUGAGGAAGAUGAUGGUCUCAAAUUCAGUUUAGAGGCUCUGCCGCCGCUGGAGGCGAUUCUGGAGCGGCGGAGAGGGAAAAAUAUCUCGGCGAACAUGUUUGAAUGUUUGAACUCAUCUUCUGAUCACGUGACCCGUUUCUCUCUCUUCAUAAAUGUUGGUUUCGGCCCUGGAUGUAUCUAUAGCCCAUGGAUCUUACUUAUCCACGCCCUCACAUUGCUGGUCAUACCUCCCCUGUUGAUUAAGUCAUUUUAUUUUAUUUUACUUUUUCAUUUAAUUGUCGACUAGGUCCUCGUUCUUGAUCUUAUUUUAUGUUAGUUUUUUAUCCAUUUUCUACCAUGAUUAAUUAGGAAAUAGAGAAUUUAUGACUUAGUUAUUUUUAUUAGUUCAUUCCUUGGUGGAUAAUUGAUCAUUAACUCUUACUACUAAUUAUUGACUUACUAAUUCACUA